Molecule: ribosomal RNA, 229 nt
Filed under: uncultured bacterium
Lineage: Bacteria
Description: partial 16S ribosomal RNA
Rfam family: Bacterial small subunit ribosomal RNA
Source: RNAcentral
CGGGGUGAGUAAUGUAUGGGGAUCUGCCUGAUAGCGGGGGAUAACUACUGGAAACGGUAGCUAAUACCGCAUAAUGUCUGCGGACCAAAGCGGGGGACCUCCGGGCCUCGCGCCAUCAGAUGAACCCAUAUGGGAUUAGCUUGUAGGUAAGGUAACGGCUUACCUAGGCGACGAUCCCUAGCUGGUCUGAGAGGAUGAUCAGCCACACUGGGACUGAGACACGGCCCAG